Molecule: ribosomal RNA, 1022 nt
Filed under: uncultured soil eukaryote
Lineage: Eukaryota
Description: SSU rRNA
Rfam family: Eukaryotic small subunit ribosomal RNA
Source: RNAcentral
AUUCUGCCAGUAGUCAUAUGCUUGUCUCAAAGAUUAAGCCAUGCAUGUCUAAGUAUAAGCAAUUUAUACAGCGAAACUGCGAAUGGCUCAUUAAAUCAGUUAUCGUUUAUUUGAUAGUACCCCACUACUUGGAUAACCGUGGUAAUUCUAGAGCUAAUACAUGCGCAAAAGCCCGACUUACGAAGGGCUGUAUUUAUUAGAUAAAAAACCAAUGCCCUUUUGGGCUUCUUGGUGAUUCAUGAUAACUUAACGAAUCGCAUGGCCUAGUGACAAUAAAUACUGAUACAGGGCUCUUUUGGGUCUUGUAAUUGGAAUGAGUACAAUUUAAAUCCCUUAACGAGGAACAAUUGGAGGGCAAGUCUGUUGCCAGCAGCCGCGGUAAUUCCAGCUCCAAUAGCGUAUAUUAAAGUUGUUGCAGUUAAAAAGCUCGUAGUUGAAUUUCAAGUCCCUAUUGUUUCUGGCCACUGUGUCUUUAUGGCCAGUGUUGCUUUUGGAAACGGGGACUUUAUUUUUCUGCUAGGCGCCUAUUUCUUCCAGUUUUGCUGGCGGAAUUAGUUUGUUGCCUAGCACUUUUACUUUGAAAAAAUUAGAGUGUUCAAAGCAGGCUUUUAUAAGCUUGAAUAUCUUAGCAUGGAAUAAUAGAAUAGGACUUUGGUUCUAUUUUGUUGGUUUCUAGGACUAGAGUAAUGAUUAAUAGGGAUAGUUGGGGGCAUUAGUAUUUAAUUGUCAGAGGUGAAAUUCUUGGAUUUAGGAAAGACUAACUUCUGCGAAAGCAUUUGCCAAGGAUGUUUUCAUUAAUCAAGAACGAAAGUUAAGGGAUCGAAGAUGAUUAGAUACCAUCGUAGUCUUAACCAUAAACGAUGCCGACCAGGGAUCAGAUGAUUUGUAGUACCUUUUUAAGUAAGACACAUCUGGCACCUUUUGAGAAAUUAAAGUUUUUGGGUUCUGGGGGGAGUAUGGUCGCAAGGCUGAAACUUAAAGGAAUUGACGGAAGGGCACCACCAGGAGUGGAGCCUGCGGCU